UGGGGAAUAUUGGGCAAUGGGCGAAAGCCUGACCCAGCAACGCCGCGUGAAGGAAGAAGGUUUUCGGAUUGUAAACUUCUGUCCUCAGGGAAGAAGAAAGUGACGGUACCUGAGGAGGAAGCCCCGGCUAACUACGUGCCAGCAGCCGCGGUAAUACGUAGGGGGCAAGCGUUGUCCGGAAUGACUGGGCGUAAAGGGCGCGUAGACGGCUGUCUAAGUCUGGAGUGAAAGUCCUGCUUUCAAGGCGGGAAUUGCGUUGGAGACUGGAUGGCUUGAGUGCGGAAGAGGUAAGUGGAAUUCCCAGUGUAGCGGUGAAAUGCGUAGAGAUUGGGAGGAACACCAGUGGCGAAGGCGACUUACUGGGCCGUAACUGACGUUGAAGCGCGAAAGCGUGGGGAGCGAACA
Molecule: ribosomal RNA, 405 nt
Filed under: uncultured prokaryote
Description: bacterial SSU rRNA
Rfam family: Bacterial small subunit ribosomal RNA
Source: RNAcentral